UAGAUCUUGGUGGUAGUAGCAAAUAUUCAAAUGAGAACUUUGAAGGCCGAAGAGGGGAAAGGUUCCAUAUGAAUGGCACUUGCACAUGGGUUNUGCUUGAAGAGUCAGGCGCGAGUCGACAUCUGAAUUGUAGUCUGGAGAAGCGUUCUCAGCGGCAGGUCGGGCCCAAGUCCCCUGGAAGGGGGCACCGAAGAGGGUGAGAGCCUCGUCGUGCCCAGACCUUGUUGCACCAUGAGGCGUUGUCGGCAAGUCGGGUUGUUUGGGAAUGCAACCCCAAUCGGGCGGUAAAUUCCGUCCAAGGCUAAAUAUGGGCAAGAGACCGAUAGCAAAAUAGCAAACAAGUACCACAAGGGAAAGAUGAAAAGGACUUUGAAAAGAGAGUCAAAGAGUGCUUAAAAUUGUCGGAAGGGAAGUGGAUGGGGGUUGGUGAUGCGCCUUGCUUGGAUGUGGAACGGUGACAAGCCGGUCCGCCGAUUGACUCGGGGUGUGGACCGAUGCGAAUUGCGGCAGCGGCCCAAGCCUGGGCUGUAGCCAUGGCUGUGGAGACAUCGUUGCCACAAUCGUGUUGGGCAGCACGCGCCGUCUUGAUGUGCUUCGUCAUCUGCAUGUUCCUGGCGUCAGCCUGCGGGCUCCCCAUUCGGCUUGUCUUGAAACAUGGACCAAGGAGUUUGACAUGUGUGCGAGUCAACGGGCUAGUAAACCCGUAAGGCAUAAGGAAGCUGAUUGGCGAGAUCCCCUUGAGGGUUGCACCGCCGACUGACCUUGAUAUUCUAAGAAGGGUUCAAGUGAGAGCAUACCUGUCGGGACCUGAAAGAUGGUGAACUAUGCCUGAGCAGGGCGAAGCCAGAGGAAACUUUGGUGGAGGCCCGCAGCAANUUGGAGCCCAUGUGUGAGUUCUAUCGGGUAAAGCCAAUGAUUAGAGGCGAUCGGGGGCAACGCCCUUGACCUAUUCUCAAACUUUACAUAGGUAGGACGACGUGGUUGCUUUGUUGAGCCGCGCCAAGGAAUCGAGAGCUCCAAGUGGGCCAUUUUUGGUAAGCAGACUUGGCGAUGUGGGAUGAAUUGGAAGCCGGGUUACGGUGCCCAACUGCGCGCUAACCUAGAACCCACAAAGGGUGUUGGUCGAUUUAGAUACCAGGACGGUGGUCAUGGAAGUCGAAAUCCCCUAAGGAGUGUGUAACAACUCACCUACCGAAUCAACUAGCCCCGAAAAUGGAUGGUGCUAAAGCGUGCGACCUAUACCUAGUCUUCUGGGCAAGUGCCAGGCCCCGAUGAGUAGGAGGGCACAGUUGUUGUCGCAAAACCGGGGGCGCGAGCCUGGGCGGAGUGGCCGUCGGUGUAGAUCUUGGUGGUAGUAGCAAAUAUUCAAAUGAGAACUUUGAAGGCCGAAGAGGGGAAAGGUUCCAUGUGAAUGGCACUUGCACAUGGGUUAGUCGAUCCUAAGAGACGGGGGAAGCUAGUCUGAUAGCAUGUUGCACGCGAGCUUUGAAAGGGAAUUGGGUUAAAAUUCCUGAACCGGGGCAUGGUGAUUGACAGCAACGUUAGGGAGUCCAGAGACGUCGGUGAGGGCCUCGAGAAGAGUUAUCUUUUUUGUUUAACAGCCUACCCACCCUGGAAACGGAUUAGCCAGAGGUAGGGUCCAGCGGUUGGAAGAGAACUGCACUUCACGUGGUGUCCGGUGCACCCUGGGUGGCCCUUGAAAAUUCGGAGGACCGAGUACCUUCCACGCCUGGUCGUACUCAUAACCACAUCAGGUCUCCAAGGUAAAUAGUCUCUGGCCAAUAGAACAAUGUAAUCAAGGGAAGUCAGCAAAAUGGAUCCGUAAUCUUGGGAAAAGGAUUGGCUCUGAGGGUUGGGCACGGGGGUCCUAGUCCCGAACCUGUCAGCUGUCGGUGGAUUGCCCAAGCUGCUCCCUCGGCAAGAGCGGGUCGCUGUGUGCCGGCUGAGGAACGGACUAGGAACGAUCGCUUCGGUGGUCUUCCUUGGGCGUCAAAUAGUCAACUCAGAACUAGUACAGACAAGGGGAAUCCAACUGUUUAAUUAAACAAAGCAUUGUGAUGGUCUUUACGGAUGCUCAUGCAAUGUGAUUUCUGCCCAAUGCUCUGAAUGUUAAAGUGAAGAAAUUCAACCAAGCGCAGGUAAACGGCGGGAGUAACUAUGACUCUCUUAAGGUAGACAAAUGCUUCGUUAUCUAAUUUAGUGACGUGCAUGAAUGGAUUAAUGAGAUUCCCAUUAUCCUUGUCUACUAUCCAGUGAAACCACAGUCAAGGGAACGGGCUUGGCAGAAUCAGCGGGGAAAGAAGACCCUGUUGAGCUUGACUUUAGUCUGACUUUGUGAAAUUACUUGAGAGGUGUAGGAUAAGUGGGAGCCGAAAGGCGAAAGUAAAAUACCACUACUUUUAACGUUCUUUUACUUAUUCUGUGUAUCAGAGGUAGGGCAUUGCCCCUUUUUUUGGGCCCAAGGCCCGCCUCGGAGGGCCGAUUCGGGCAGAAGAAUUGUUAGGCAGGGAGUUUGGCUGGGGCAGCACAUAUGCUAAAAGAUAAUGCAUGUGUCCUAAGAUGAGCUCAACGAGAACAAAAAUCUUGUGUGGAACAAAAUGGUAAAACUCGUUUGAUUCUGAUUUCCAGUACGAAUACGAACCGUGAGAGUGUGGCCUAUCAAUCCUUUAGACUUUCGGAAUUUGAAGCUAGAGGUGUCAGAAAAGUUACCACAGGGAUAACUGGCUUAUGGCAGCCAAGCGUUCAUACCGACGUUGCUUUUUGAUCCUGUGAUGUCGGCUUUUCUUAUCAUUGUGAAACAGAAUUCGCCAAGUGUUGGAUUGUUCACCAACCAAUAGGGAACGUGAGCUGGGUUUAGACUGUCAUGAGAUAGGUUAGUUUUACCCUACUGAUGACAGUUUUGCAAUAGUAAUUCAACGUAGUACGAGAAGAACCAUUGAUUCGCACAAUUGGUCAUCGCGCUUGGUUGAAAAGCUAGUAGUGCGAAGCUACCAUGCGCUGGGUUAUGACUGAACGUCUCUAAGUCAGAAUUUGGGCUAGAAGCAAAGGGUGCGCCUGUCGCUCGAUUGCCAAUCUACAAUAAGGGCCUCAGCACCCAGAGGCACGUGUCGUUGGUGAAGCCCUCACGGCGGACAAGCCUCAACUAUUCAAGAUCACCUCUAAUCU
Molecule: ribosomal RNA, 3165 nt
Filed under: Betula pendula (European white birch)
Lineage: Eukaryota; Viridiplantae; Streptophyta; Magnoliopsida; Fagales; Betulaceae
Description: eukaryotic LSU rRNA
Rfam family: Eukaryotic large subunit ribosomal RNA
Source: RNAcentral